GAUGAACGCUGGCGGCGUGCUUAACACAUGCAAGUCGAACGGAGUGUCGAACGGGUGUGUAACACGUGUGUGAUCUUCCUUGCACUUCGGGAUUAGCUUGGGGAACUGUGUGCAAAACCGGAUUGUGCAUGAUGGGCUCGCGGCCUAUCAGCUUGUUGGUGGGGUAAUGGCCAACCAAGGCGUCGACGGGUAGCCGGCCUGAGAGGGUGUACGGCCACAUUGGGACUGAGAUACGGCCCAGACUCCUACGGGAGGCAGCAGUGGGGAAUAUUGCACAAUGGGCGGAAGCCUGAUGCAGCGACGCCGCGUGGGGGAUGAAGGCCUUCGGGUUGUAAACUCCUUUCGACAGGGACGCGGUACCUGGAUAAGAAGCACCGGCUAACUACGUGCCAGCAGCCGCGGUAAUAC
RNAcentral lists this ribosomal RNA (408 nucleotides) under uncultured bacterium. RNAcentral describes it as "partial 16S ribosomal RNA". It matches the Rfam family "Bacterial small subunit ribosomal RNA", at positions 28 to 526 of the family's 1533-position model. The record is from RNAcentral.